AUUAUAUGUGUGUGUGUAUAUGGGUGUGCGUAUAUAUAUAUGGCUUGAAAAGACGCAAAUGGUGAUGGUGAUGGGACGAUUGAAGGAAUGUAUAUAUAUUCUGGCAUCCUAAACAGAUUAUAUAUAUAUGAGGUCCAAAAGAUUGAAAUUGUCCUCAACCUAAAACAUACCUAAAAACUUGUUGUUGCUGCAGCACAAUGUCACCCGUCUGCAUCCUCCCUCUGCUCAAUCUUCCGCCCAUU
This 242-nucleotide long non-coding RNA is filed under the name Malus domestica (apple). RNAcentral's name for it is "long non-coding RNA (MDOM_LNC012129)". Lineage: Eukaryota; Viridiplantae; Streptophyta; Magnoliopsida; Rosales; Rosaceae. The record is from RNAcentral.